RNAcentral lists this ribosomal RNA (433 nucleotides) under uncultured bacterium. Its description in RNAcentral is "partial 16S ribosomal RNA". It matches the Rfam family "Bacterial small subunit ribosomal RNA", at positions 29 to 507 of the family's 1533-position model. The record is from RNAcentral.
AACGAACGCUGGCGGCAUGCCUAACACAUGCAAGUCGAACGACACCAUCGGAUCUAGUUGCGCACGCGUGCGUCACGCGUGGGAAGCUGCCCUUAUGUUCCGAAUAACACCUCUAAGGGGGUGCUAAUACCGGGUAAUGUCUUCGGACAAAAGAUUUAUCGCAUUUGGAUGGGCCCGAGUUGUAUUAGCUGGUUGGGAGUGUAAAAGCCUACCAAGGAGAGGAUCCAUAGCUGGUCAGAGAGGAAGGUUAGCAACACUGAGACGGGGACGCGGCCCAGACUCCUGCGGGAUGCAGCAGAGGGGAAUAUAGGAAAACGGGCGAGGGGAUGAACAAGCAAUGCAGCGUGAGUGAUGAAGGUCUUAGGGAAGGAAAGCACGUUAACCCGGGAGUAUAAUGACGGUACCGGGAGAAUAAGCGCCGGCUAACUCCGUG